This 943-nucleotide ribosomal RNA is filed under the name Thysanozoon brocchii. Its description in RNAcentral is "partial large subunit ribosomal RNA". It matches the Rfam family "Eukaryotic large subunit ribosomal RNA", at positions 104 to 856 of the family's 3401-position model. Lineage: Eukaryota; Metazoa; Platyhelminthes; Polycladida; Pseudocerotidae. The record is from RNAcentral.
AGAGCCCAGCACCGAAUCCUUCACCAUCUCGGUGACAGGAAAUGUGGUGUUUAGGCCGUACCUUGUCCCGACACGUCUCUCCUCAAGUCCACUUGAUUGUGGCCCCAGGCCCAGAGAGGGUGUAAGGCCCGUGGAGGCGAGACGUUCGGUACCUGGUGCGUCCUUAGAGUCGGGUUGUUUGGGAAUGCAGCCCUAAGCGGGUGGUAAACUCCAUCCAAGGCUAAAUACCAGCACGAGUCCGAUAGCGAAGAAGUACCGCGAGGGAAGGUUGAAAAGAACUUUGAAGAGAGAGUUCAAGAGUACGUGAAACCGCUGAGAGGCAAACUGGUGGAACUGAAAUGGUCCCGAGGAAUUCAGCCGUUGGUCGUUGCACAGUCUUUGGUGAUUGAUCUAACGACGGCGCCAUUGAAUGACGUUUCGAUCAUCGGUGCACUUUCCUCGCCUGGGCCCGACCACGACCGGUGAGCUGAUCUGUCUGUCGUGCUUGGAAGAUAGCGCCGUCUUCGGAAGGCGUGUUAUAGACAGGCAUACGGAGCAGUCGGCGCACUGGAUGAUAGUGCCUGCCCAUCUGGGCUCAUAUGGUGGUUGUUUUGUUGGCGAGUUCUGAUGUCACUACUUCGGUAGAGUCGUUAGACUCUGUUGGCAUUAUGGCUGUCCUCUAUGAUUGGCACUGUUAAGUCUGUGGUUGUGAAGUAGGUAGUCCACCUGACCCGUCUUGAAACACGGACCAAGGAGUCUAACAUGUGCGCGAGUCAUUGGGUUNACGAAACCUAAAGGCGCAGUGAAGGUAAAGAUCUGUUUUGGCAGAUUGAGGUGGGAUGCCGGGUUACGCGCCCGGCCGCACUACCGGCCCGUUCUAUAUGUCUUUCAUAGGAGCGGAGCAAGAGCGUACACGUUGGGACCCGAAAGAUGGUGAACUAUGCUUGCGCAGGUCGAAGCCAGA